UUGGGCUGGCCUUUCAAGGCCUGGGUUGGGUUGGAGUGGUGGAGUGGGCGCCCCGUGGAUCCCUGAUUCAGGGAGAAGCUUCCGUUUUUCCCUGUUCACAGGUGGGUUUUGCACCAGCCCUGCUAGCUCCAGGGUCCCCUCUCGUGAAGGAAGCCCUUCCCGAGGCGCAGCCCCCUUCCGAGCUUCUCCUCCACAGCAGCGGCUCCUGUUUAAGGUGCUGAAACCACGUCCCCAGGCCCUUAGAGAUGACAGGUGGCCGCCCACUGACAGGCACCUGUGUUAUCAGUUUCAUCAGAAAGGUUUUACGCUCAGCUUUCAGUUCUAGGGUGAUUUUUGUCCCUUGAGAGCAGACAGUUAUUCACUCUAACUCUGCGUCCCAUCCGGGCACGGAGCGUCUGCCCAGGCCAGGGUCACGGUCAGCGAGCUUCAGCCGCUGUGGGAACCUCGUCAGGCCCCUGGAGCCUCUCAGAGGGCGGAUGGAGAUGCGAGGUCAGCACCCAGGCGUCCUCAGGCAGUGUCCUCUCGGGUUCAUUACUAGGAUACCUCUACCGCCCUGGCCUCCUCGGGUCCUGCCUGGAGGUGUCUAGGAUGGAUCCUGUCGCCUCGGCCCCUGCUCCGCUUAGUUUGCAGACGUCCUUGGACCCCAAGGGUCCUCUGGUUACACAGACCCGUCCUUCCCGACGCCUGACCCUGAUGCGUGAUGGCCCCGGACGCGGUCUUCUCCCCAUCUCCCCGUAGCUCACAGCAAACCCACCGGACGCUCGUCUUCCUGAAGGUCACUCUGAUCUCCUUUCCACCUGAGCUCUGGUGUCACCUUGGGGACAUGGCUCCCCAGGUGGCUGCUGUCCCUCCCUCUCCCUUCCUCCUAUCAGCGAUUUGGGGGUGUGGGGGUGGAUUCCCCCAGUUCAGAGCCCCGACCCUCUAUUCUGAUCAAGACCCUGCCCAGGGCAGCUUCAGAGAGCGGCGCAGCCUGCUCCUCCCUGCCCUGACACACACAGGCGCAGAGCGCUUUACCAGAUACGUUUAUGUUCACUCUUUCUCCUUUUUUUUUAAUGGAGAUGAUACAAAAAGC
RNAcentral lists this long non-coding RNA (1072 nucleotides) under Marmota monax (woodchuck). The record is from RNAcentral. Lineage: Eukaryota; Metazoa; Chordata; Mammalia; Rodentia; Sciuridae.